RNAcentral lists this ribosomal RNA (570 nucleotides) under Triticum aestivum (bread wheat). RNAcentral describes it as "partial small subunit ribosomal RNA". Lineage: Eukaryota; Viridiplantae; Streptophyta; Magnoliopsida; Poales; Poaceae. The record is from RNAcentral.
AUGAAUUGCUUAAAUUGCUUGAUGCACACCUUGCUUGAAUACAUGAAUUGCUUAAAUUGCUUGAUGCACAGUGACAUUCUCCACCAAAUUAUGCAAUGUAGUACAUCUUUCUUUGAUGCUGAAACCCAAGAUGGUGAAGUGCAUGAACCUAGUCAGCAUAAUAAUAAUAAUAAUAAUAAUAAUAAUAAUAAUAAUAUUGACAAUGAUGCUCCACCUAAUGAUGAUAAUAAACCUGAAAAGGAGGUAGAAGUAGAACCUCAAGUUGACCUAUAUGAUCCACCUUCUAGGAAUACAAGAUAUGAUAAAAGAGAUUAUGUUGCUAGAAAACAUGGUAGAGAGAGAGAGAGAGAACCAUGGGUACAAAAACAUAUGUCUUUUCCUAGUAAGACACUAAAAUCUAGAGAUGAAGAGGCAUUUAAUCAAUUUGUUGAAUUGCUUAGACCUCUAUUUCUUCGUGUUCCUUUGACUGAUGCUAUUAAGAUGCCUCCUUAUACUAAGUGUAUGAAGGAUAUAUGUUUCAAAAAAAAGUAUAUAAGGAUAUUGUUACUAAUAAAAAAAAUCCGAAGCUGA